UUAAGUCCGUAACGAGCGCAACCCUUGUCCUUAGUUACCAGCACGUUAUGUGGGCGACUCUAAGGAGACUGCCGGUGACAAACCGGAGGAAGGUGGGGAGUGACGUCAAGUCAUCAUGGCCCUUACGGCCUGGGCUACACACGUGCUACAAUGGUCGGUACAAAGGGUUGCCAAGCCGCGAGGUGGAGCUAAUCCCAUAAAACCGAUCGUAGUCCGGAUCGCAGUCUGCAACUCGACUGCGUGAAGUCGGAAUCGCUAGUAAUCGUGAAUCAGAAUGUCACGGUGAAUACGUUCCCGGGCCUU
Molecule: ribosomal RNA, 303 nt
Filed under: uncultured Pseudomonas sp.
Lineage: Bacteria; Pseudomonadati; Pseudomonadota; Gammaproteobacteria; Pseudomonadales; Pseudomonadaceae
Description: bacterial SSU rRNA
Rfam family: Bacterial small subunit ribosomal RNA
Source: RNAcentral